RNAcentral lists this unclassified non-coding RNA (480 nucleotides) under Hevea brasiliensis (rubber tree). Lineage: Eukaryota; Viridiplantae; Streptophyta; Magnoliopsida; Malpighiales; Euphorbiaceae. The record is from RNAcentral.
AGUGAAUUUUAUCGCUGUAUCAUUUCUGUCCCCGAUUUAUGUGCAAGGGAGAAUCCAACAAAUGUCAGGAUUAACUGAUAAACAAGCAACAACCAUUAAUGGAAUAAAAUAAAUCACUAUCUUGGGUCUGACAAAUGCCUGGGUACUUUCUCCAACUGUAAAAUGUGGAACAAAGGUAUACAAACCACAAGUUCUGGAAGGGACGAAUCCCUCCUUUAUGUGCACAAGCAUGGAAUCAAAAUCAAAGCCACCAUUUAUAGCACCCAGUUCUAAGAAACACAAAUUAGUAUGAUCUCACAAAAGCACCAGGAAACCAUCUGGGAAAAGUGGAGUUUUUGGCUUUGACAAUCAGGGCAUAUGUACCAUAACAGGGGAUGUGAACCACAGCCAGGGCAAAGUACCAUAAAGGAGCCCAUGGUAUAUCAAGCUCCAGGAAUGGAUAUGGCCACCCUGUAUAACCACAGGCAUGAAUCACCCAUU